Molecule: ribosomal RNA, 1238 nt
Filed under: metagenome
Description: bacterial LSU rRNA
Rfam family: Bacterial large subunit ribosomal RNA
Source: RNAcentral
UGAAUACGAGACGCUAAGGCGUCGAAGUAGUGUAUGUCAUACUUCCAAGAAAAGCUGCACUGUCAUAGAUAAAAAACGCCUGUACCAUAACCGACACAGGUGGGUAGGUAGAGUAUACUAAGGGGCGCGAGAUAACUCUCUAAGGAACUCGGCAAAAUAACUCCGUAACUUCGGGAGAAGGAGUGCCUUAUUCGUAAGGUUGCAAUAACAAGAUCCAAGCAACUGUUUAUCAAAAACACAGGUCUCCGCUAAGUCGUAAGACGAUGUAUGGGGGCUGACGCCUGCCCAGUGCCAGAAGGUUAAAGAAGUUGGUUAGCAAUUGCGAAGCUGAUAACUGAAGCCCUGGUGAACGGCGGCCGUAACAAUAACGGUCCUAAGGUAGCGAAAUUCCUUGUCGGGUAAGUUCCGACCCGCACGAAAGGCGUAAUGAUUUGGAUACUGUCUCGGAGAGGGGCUCGGUGAAAUAGACUUGUCUGUGAAGAUGCGGACUACCUGCACCAGGACAGAAAGACCCUAUGAAGCUUUACUGUAACUUGAAAUUGAAAUUGGACUUUAUUCGCGCAGUAUAGGUGGGAGGCGUUGAUUAUAAUCUUGUGGGAUUAUUGAAGCCAUCAGUGAGAUACCACUCUUGUAAUGUUAGAUUUCUAACUUUGAAUCAUUAUCUGGUCAAAGAACAGUUUCAGGCGGGCAGUUUGACUGGGGCGGUCGCCUCCUAAACGGUAACGGAGGCGUACAAAGGUUUCCUCUGAACGGUUAGAAAUCGUAUCUAGAGUGUAAAGGCAUAAGGAAGCUUGACUGUGAGACCUACAAGUCGAGCAGGGACGAAAGUCGGUCUUAGUGAUCUGACGGUACUGAGUGGAAAGGCCGUCACUCAACGGAUAAAAGUUACUCUAGGAUAACAGGCUGAUCUCCCCCAAGAGUUCACAUCGACGGGGAGGUUUGGCACCUCGAUGUCGGCUCAUCGCAUCCUGGGGCGGUAGUACGUCCCAAGGGUUGGGCUGUUCGCCCAUGAAAGCGGUACGCGAGCUGGGUUCAGAACGUCGUGAGACAGUUCGGUCCAUAUCCGGUGUAGGCGUUAGAAUAUUGAGAGGAGCCUUCUUUAGUACGAGAGGACCGAGAAGGACAUACCUCUGGUGUACCAGUUAUCGUGCCAACGGUAAACGCUGGGUAGCUAUGUAUGGAGUGGAUAACCGCUGAAAGCAUCUAAGUGGGAAGCCCACCUCAAGAUAAGUAUUCUC